UACAGAGGUCUCAAGCGUUGUUCGGAUUCAUUGGGCGUAAAGGGCGCGUAGGCGGUGGGGUAAGUCUGGUGUGAAAUCUCGGGGCUCAACUUCGAAAUUGCACUGGAUACUGCUCUGCUAGAGGGCUGGAGAGGAGAUCGGAAUUCACGGUGUAGCAGUGAAAUGCGUAGAUAUCGUGAGGAAGACCAGUGGCGAAGGCGGAUCUCUGGACAGCUCCUGACGCUGAGGCGCGAAAGCGUGGGGAGCAAACAGG
RNAcentral lists this ribosomal RNA (253 nucleotides) under uncultured bacterium. RNAcentral's name for it is "partial 16S ribosomal RNA". It matches the Rfam family "Bacterial small subunit ribosomal RNA", at positions 524 to 776 of the family's 1533-position model. The record is from RNAcentral.